This 24-nucleotide microRNA is filed under the name Triops cancriformis. Its description in RNAcentral is "tcf-miR-1175-5p". Lineage: Eukaryota; Metazoa; Arthropoda; Branchiopoda; Notostraca; Triopsidae. The record is from miRBase by way of RNAcentral.
AAGUGGAGCAGUAGUCUCGUCACU